AUUGAACGCUGGCGGCAGGCCUAACACAUGCAAGUCGAGUGGAUGAAGGGAGCUUGCUCCUGGAUUCAGCGGCGGACGGGUGAGUAAUGCCUAGGAAUCUGCCUGGUAGUGGGGGAUAACGUCCGGAAACGGGCGCUAAUACCGCAUACGUCCUGAGGGAGAAAGUGGGGGAUCUUCGGACCUCACGCUAUCAGAUGAGCCUAGGUCGGAUUAGCUAGUUGGUGGGGUAAAGGCCUACCAAGGCGACGAUCCGUAACUGGUCUGAGAGGAUGAUCAGUCACACUGGAACUGAGACACGGUCCAGACUCCUACGGGAGGCAGCAGUGGGGAAUAUUGGACAAUGGGCGAAAGCCUGAUCCAGCCAUGCCGCGUGUGUGAAGAAGGUCCUCGGAUUGUAAAGCACUUUAAGUUGGGAGGAAGGGCAGUAAGUUAAUACCUUGCUGUUUUGACGUUACCAACAGAAUAAGCACCGGCUAACUUCGUG
RNAcentral lists this ribosomal RNA (484 nucleotides) under uncultured bacterium. RNAcentral's name for it is "partial 16S ribosomal RNA". It matches the Rfam family "Bacterial small subunit ribosomal RNA", at positions 30 to 507 of the family's 1533-position model. The record is from RNAcentral.